UGGGGAAUCUUGGACAAUGGGGGCAACCCUGAUCCAGCCAUGCCGCGUGAGUGAUGAAGGCCUUAGGGUCGUAAAGCUCUUUCGCCUGUGAAGAUAAUGACGGUAGCAGGUAAAGAAACCCCGGCUAACUCCGUGCCAGCAGCCGCGGUAAUACGAAGGGGGCAAGCGUUGUUCGGAAUUACUGGGCGUAAAGCGCACGUAGGCGGACCAGAAAGUUGGGGGUGAAAUCCCGGGGGCUCAACCCCGGAACUGCCUCCAAAACUAUUGGUCUAGAGUUCGAGAGAGGUGAGUGGAAUUCCAAGUGUAGAGGUGAAAUUCGUAGAUAUUUGGAGGAACACCAGUGGCGAAGGCGGCUCACUGGCUCGAUACUGACGCUGAGGUGCGAAAGUGUGGGGAGCAAACAGGAUUAGAUACCCUGGUAGUCCACACCGUAAAACGAUGAAUGCCAGUCGUCGGGUAGCAUGCUAUUCGGUGACACACCUAACGGAUUAAGCAUUCCGCCUGGGGAGUACGGUCGCAAGAUUAAAACUC
This 531-nucleotide ribosomal RNA is filed under the name uncultured bacterium. RNAcentral describes it as "bacterial SSU rRNA". It matches the Rfam family "Bacterial small subunit ribosomal RNA", at positions 355 to 902 of the family's 1533-position model. The record is from RNAcentral.